GAAACAGAUGCUAAUACCGCAUAACAACGAAAGCCACAUGGCUUUUGUUUGAAAGAUGGCUUUGGCUAUCACUCUGGGAUGGACCUGCGGUGCAUUAGCUAGUUGGUAAGGUAACGGCUUACCAAGGCGAUGAUGCAUAGCCGAGUUGAGAGACUGAUCGGCCACAAUGGAACUGAGACACGGUCCAUACUCCUACGGGAGGCAGCAGUAGGGAAUCUUCCACAAUGGGCGCAAGCCUGAUGGAGCAACACCGCGUGAGUGAAGAAGGGUUUCGGCUCGUAAAGCUCUGUUGUUGGAGAAGAACGUGCGUGAGAGUAACUGUUCACGCAGUGACGGUAUCCAACCAGAAAGUCACGGCUAACUACGUGCCAGCAGCCGCGGUAAUACGUAGGUGGCAAGCGUUAUCCGGAUUUAUUGGGCGUAAAGCGAGCGCAGGCGGUUGCUUAGGUCUGAUGUGAAAGCCUUCGGCUUAACCGAAGAAGUGCAUCGGAAACCGGGCGACUUGAGUGCAGAAGAGGACAGUGGAACUCCAUGUGUAGCGGUGGAAUGCGUAGAUAUAUGGAAGAACACCAGUGGCGAAGGCGGCUGUCUGGUCUGCAACUGACGCUGAGGCUCGAAAGCAUGGGUAGCGAACAGGAUUAGAUACCCUGGUAGUCCAUGCCGUAAACGAU
This 671-nucleotide ribosomal RNA is filed under the name uncultured bacterium. RNAcentral describes it as "bacterial SSU rRNA". It matches the Rfam family "Bacterial small subunit ribosomal RNA", at positions 153 to 810 of the family's 1533-position model. The record is from RNAcentral.